Molecule: ribosomal RNA, 469 nt
Filed under: uncultured bacterium
Lineage: Bacteria
Description: bacterial SSU rRNA
Rfam family: Bacterial small subunit ribosomal RNA
Source: RNAcentral
GACGAACGCUGGCGGCGUGCUUAACACAUGCAAGUCGAACGGUGAACCAGAGCUUGCUCUGGGGAUCAGUGGCGAACGGGUGAGUAACACGUGGGCAACCUGCCCCAGACUCUGGGAUAACCUCGGGAAACCGAUGCUAAUACCGGAUACGACCACUUCGGACAUCCGACGGUGGUGGAAAGUUUUUCGGUCUGGGAUGGGCCCGCGGCCUAUCAGCUAGUUGGUGGGGUAAUGGCCUACCAAGGCGACGACGGGUAGCCGGCCUGAGAGGGCGACCGGCCACACUGGAACUGAGACACGGUCCAGACUCCUACGGGAGGCAGCAGUGGGGAAUAUUGCACAAUGGGCGAAAGCCUGAUGCAGCGACGCCGCGUGAGGGACGACGGGCCUUCGGGUUGUAAACCGUCUUUCAGCAGGGACGAAGGCGAAAGUGACUGUACCUGCAGAAGAAGCACCGGCUAACUACGUG